This 253-nucleotide ribosomal RNA is filed under the name uncultured bacterium. RNAcentral describes it as "partial 16S ribosomal RNA". It matches the Rfam family "Bacterial small subunit ribosomal RNA", at positions 524 to 776 of the family's 1533-position model. The record is from RNAcentral.
UACAGAGGUCUCAAGCGUUGUUCGGAUUCAUUGGGCGUAAAGGGCGCGUAGGCUGCGGGGCAAGUCGGGUGUGAAAUCUCAGAGCUCAACUCUGAAACUGCAUUCGAUACUGCCGUGCUUGAGGACUGGAGAGGAGACUGGAAUUUACGGUGUAGCGGUGAAAUGCGUAGAUAUCGUAAGGAAGACCAGUGGCGAAGGCGGGUCUCUGGACAGUUCCUGACGCUGAGGCACGAAGGCCAGGGGAGCAAACGGG